This 587-nucleotide ribosomal RNA is filed under the name uncultured bacterium. RNAcentral's name for it is "partial 16S ribosomal RNA". It matches the Rfam family "Bacterial small subunit ribosomal RNA", at positions 355 to 1375 of the family's 1533-position model. The record is from RNAcentral.
UGGGGAAUUUUGGACAAUGGGCGAAAGCCUGAUCCAGCAAUGCCGCGUGUGUGAAGAAGGCCUUCGGGUUGUAAAGCACUUUUGUCCGGAAAGAAAUCCUUGGCUCUAAUACAGUCGGGGGAUGACGGUACCGGAAGAAUAAGCACCGGCUAACUACGUGCCAGCAGCCGCGGUAAUACGUAGGGUGCAAGCGUUAAUCGGAAUUACUGGGCGUAAAGCGUGCGCAGGCGGUUUGCUAAGACCGAUGUGAAAUCCCCGGGCUCAACCUGGGAACUGCAUUGGUGACUGGCAGGCUAGAGUAUGGCAGAGGGGGGUAGAAUUCCACGUGUAGCAGUGAAAUGCGUAGAGAUGUGGAGGAAUACCGAUGGCGAAGGCAGCCCCCUGGGCCAAUACUGACGCUCAUGCACGAAAGCGUGGGGGAGCAAACAGGAUUAGAUACCCCUGGUAGUCCACGCCCUAAACGAUGUCAACUAGUUGUUGGGGAUUCAUUUCCUUAGUAACGUAGCUAACGCGUGAAGUUGACCGCCUGGGGAGUACGGUCGCAAGAUUAAAACUCAAAUAAAUUGACGGGGUCAUAGCUGUUUCCU